RNAcentral lists this long non-coding RNA (444 nucleotides) under Dermacentor andersoni. RNAcentral describes it as "uncharacterized LOC126516743". The record is from RNAcentral. Lineage: Eukaryota; Metazoa; Arthropoda; Arachnida; Ixodida; Ixodidae.
UGCUCCACCGGCUCCUUUGUGCAUAUGGCCCCAAUGCACGCUUCCAGGCCAGACGUGUUCCUUCUGUACCGCCUGUCGCCAUACUGGUGCUGCCUCUUCUCCAUGUGUUGUACCGUACUACUUGGUCUGACACUAAGCCUUUACUGUGCGCGGCCGGGCAGUAACGUCAAGGAGACACUCCACCUUACGAGUCCACUCAUGUUGAAGUUCUGGCGCAGAGUUGGGCUUAUGCCUCCUUUGAGGGCGCAUGCUGUUUCCAUCGAAGUCAACGGGCGAGAAUGCAAUGCGACAACCACUGAACUGAAACCAUUGCGGGCAGAAGAAAGAUUUGCGUGAUUAAAUUCAAUAUCUUCGGCUACUGUCAGACAGACACUUAUAAUUGGUUCGUCCUCAGUCACAAGUGUUUGCAGAGCGCGUAUCGCGCCUUCCAAUAAGAAUAAUAAU